Symphalangus syndactylus (siamang) is the source of this 320-nucleotide long non-coding RNA. RefSeq lists it as uncharacterized. The record is from RefSeq and is a predicted model, not a curated record. Lineage: Eukaryota; Metazoa; Chordata; Mammalia; Primates; Hylobatidae.
GUCAAGGGCAACUGACAAGCUACUCGGAGGAGGCUGCAAAAAUAAUAACAACGUGGGGACAAUUAUGACCACAAGUCAAGGUGCACAAACCACACAGAUGCGUGGCCUGGCAGCACUCGUUCCUGCCCGUCCUCUCCUACUGCCUACGCCUCUACAACAAGAUCUGGACAUCUUAGGAGUGAAAUCUGAAAAACCACAUCACAGAGAGCAGAAGCAGCUUUCAAAGCCACAGUAUAAUCAGCAAAUCAAGCUUUCCCUUAGGCUAACAGCCUGUGCAGGAUUUAUUGACAGAGGGGAGAGGACACUUGCCUGCCUAUUGC